UUGGAGGGCAAGUCUGGUGCCAGCAGCCGCGGUAAUUCCAGCUCCAAUAGCGUAUAUUAAAGUUGUUGCAGUUAAAAAGCUCGUAGUUGAAUUUCGGGAUCAAUUUAUUGGUCGUGCUAUUGUACGUACUGGUAUUAUUGAUUCCUACCUUCUGACGAACCAUGAUGUCAUUAAUUUGGUGUCAUGGGGAAUCAGGACUGUUACUUUGAAAAAUUAGAGUGUUUAAAGCAGGCUCACGCUUGAAUACAUUAGCAUGGAAUAACGAAAUAGGACGUUUGAUUCUAUUUUGUUGGUUUCUAGGAUCGACGUAAUGAUUAAUAGGGAUAGUUGGGGGCAUUAGUAUUCAAUUGUCAGAGGUGAAAUUCUUGGAUUUAUUGAAGACUAACUACUGCGAAAGCAUUUGCCAAGGAUGUUUUCAUUAAUCAAGAACGAAAGUUAGGGGAUCGAAGACGAUCAGAUACCGUCGUAGUCUUAACCAUAAACUAUGCCGACUAGGGAUCGGAUGAUGUUAAUUUUUAACGACUCAUUCGGCGCC
Molecule: ribosomal RNA, 535 nt
Filed under: uncultured Glomeraceae
Lineage: Eukaryota; Fungi; Glomeromycota; Glomeromycetes; Glomerales; Glomeraceae
Description: SSU rRNA
Rfam family: Eukaryotic small subunit ribosomal RNA
Source: RNAcentral